UAGAAAAACUGUUCAAAAUGGCGUUUUUGCGCGGUCUGUGCUGAGAUGUUAUGUGCAGAACAAUUGGAGCAAUCUGGAAGUCUGUGGAGAGAAGACCCAGUUGGAACCUCAGUUCAGUUUUGGAGUAUUAGCCAGCGGGCAAGGACUGUUUAACGACGCUGCCAUUAUCGACAUUGUAGCGUUGGUGACAAAGUGAAUAUUGUACUCGUAUAUGGAGCAGCUGGUGGAAUGAGAAUUGGCAGUGAAAACCGAAGAACUCUGAGAAUACCUGUCCCACUAAAAUUCUGUUCACCA
This is a long non-coding RNA of Cryptotermes secundus, 294 nucleotides long. RefSeq lists it as uncharacterized. The record is from RefSeq and is a predicted model, not a curated record. Lineage: Eukaryota; Metazoa; Arthropoda; Insecta; Blattodea; Kalotermitidae. The transcript has 2 exons.